UACGUAGGGUGCAAGCGUUAAUCGGAAUUACUGGGCGUAAAGCGUGCGCAGGCGGUUGUGCAAGUCCGAUGUGAAAUCCCCAGGCUUAACCUGGGAACUGCAUUCGAGACUGCAUUGCUAGAGUAUGGGAGAGGGAAGUGGAAUUUCCGGUGUAGCGGUGAAAUGCGUAGAUAUCGGAAGGAACAUCAGUGGCGAAAGCGACUUCCUGGACCAAUACUGACGCUCAUGUGCGAAAGCGUGGGGAGCAAACAGG
This 253-nucleotide ribosomal RNA is filed under the name uncultured bacterium. Its description in RNAcentral is "partial 16S ribosomal RNA". It matches the Rfam family "Bacterial small subunit ribosomal RNA", at positions 524 to 776 of the family's 1533-position model. The record is from RNAcentral.